ACCUCGCGAGAGCAAGCGGACCUCAUAAAGUGCGUCGUAGUCCGGAUUGGAGUCUGCAACUCGACUCCAUGAAGUCGGAAUCGCUAGUAAUCGUGGAUCAGAAUGCCACGGUGAAUACGUUCCCGGGCCUUGUACACACCGCCCGUCACACCAUGGGAGUGGGUUGCAAAAGAAGUAGGUAGCUUAACCUUCGGGAGGGCGCUUACCACUUUGUGAUUCAUGACUGGGGUGAAGUCGUAACAAGGUAACCGUAGGGGAACCUGCGGUUGGAUCACCUCCUUACCUGAAAGAA
Molecule: ribosomal RNA, 292 nt
Filed under: Salmonella enterica subsp. salamae serovar 58:l,z13,z28:z6 str. 00-0163
Lineage: Bacteria; Pseudomonadati; Pseudomonadota; Gammaproteobacteria; Enterobacterales; Enterobacteriaceae
Description: partial 16S ribosomal RNA
Rfam family: Bacterial small subunit ribosomal RNA
Source: RNAcentral